This 497-nucleotide ribosomal RNA is filed under the name uncultured bacterium. Its description in RNAcentral is "partial 16S ribosomal RNA". It matches the Rfam family "Bacterial small subunit ribosomal RNA", at positions 28 to 507 of the family's 1533-position model. The record is from RNAcentral.
GAUGAACGCUGGCGGCGUGCCUAAUACAUGCAAGUCGAGCGAACGGACGAGAAGCUUGCUUCUCUGAUGUUAGCGGCGGACGGGUGAGUAACACGUGGAUAACCUACCUAUAAGACUGGGAUAAAUUCGGGAAACCGUAGCUAAUACCGGAUAAUAUUUUGAACCGCAUGGUUCAAAAGUGAAAGACGGUCUUGCUGUCACUUAUAGAUGGAUCCGCGCUGCAUUAGCUAGUUGGUAAGGUAACGGCUUACCAAGGCAACGAUGCAUAGCCGACCUGAGAGGGUGAUCGGCCACACUGGAACUGAGACACGGUCCAGACUCCUACGGGAGGCAGCAGUAGGGAAUCUUCCGCAAAGGGCGAAAGCCUGACGGAGCAACGCCGCGUGAGUGAUGAAGGUCUUCGGAUCGUAAAACUCUGUUAUUAGGGAAGAACAUAUGUGUAAGUAACUGUGCACAUCUUGACGGUACCUAAUCAGAAAGCCACGGCUAACUACGUG